GCGAGGAUGAGAUUGAGAGAGAGGAUGAGAAGGAAGGACGGGAGGGAGGAGUAACAAAAGUAAAAACAAUUUCAAAUAGAUUUCAUGUUUUAAUUUUUGUUUUCACUUUUGUUACUCCUUCCCAUCCUUCUUAUCUUCUCUAUAAAUCUCAUCUUCACU
This 159-nucleotide microRNA precursor is filed under the name Prunus dulcis (almond). RNAcentral describes it as "sRNA ncRNA". The record is from RNAcentral. Lineage: Eukaryota; Viridiplantae; Streptophyta; Magnoliopsida; Rosales; Rosaceae.